This is an RNA transcript of Etheostoma spectabile (orangethroat darter), 1776 nucleotides long. RefSeq lists it as uncharacterized. Lineage: Eukaryota; Metazoa; Chordata; Actinopteri; Perciformes; Percidae. The transcript has 7 exons. The record is from RefSeq and is a predicted model, not a curated record.
ACAAUGAUAAGCUAUUCAAUAUGUUUGGGACAUGGUGAAGUGGAAAAACUGACCUUAGAAAAACAACUUUCGCCGAUAUCUUCGGACUGGAGAAGCGCAUGUAUUUUAAAUUUCCCACAAUCAAAGAGGAUGCUACAACGCAUGUCUGAAGCAAAAAACACAGCUCAAGCUUGUUGCGCACACAAGUUGUGUUUCAACUGUAGGCCUACCCCUGUGCCAACUGUACUUGGUCUAACAUUAUACUCAAGCAAAAGUGCUGUUACUAAGGGUUAGAUAAUUUGGUGACGUUUGCCAUACUAGGAGAUACUAUUACUUUGCCAUGUGGCAAACCCUUUAUUAAAUCCUGCACUUCUGUUAACUGGAACAUAGCUGACGAGGUUGGAUUAGAGGUGGUGAAGGCUGGAACUGUGACAGCUCCGAACCCCCUCAGGUUUGGCCUGCUUAAGGACUGCUCUCUGGAGAUUAAUCACCUGGUACUCGAUGAUGCACAUCUUUACUCUUGUCACAGUCAAGUGUUCAAUUCAAGUGUUUCCCUUCAGAUUCUUGAAGUUACUGAGAGCUCAACUCCUGCAAAUGGUAUAAUAGAGCUUCACUGUUACCUCAAUACAUAUAGAGGACUGGUCUCCAAUUGUAACAACAAAGGGAUACAUAUCAAGUGGAGCACUGAAGAUAAUACACCAUUAAAUGGGAACAGAUUUCACUAUAAAAAUGCCUCUGAUUGCUUCUCUAAACUGUUCAUCACUAAAAGACUGACAGACCAUCACAGAAAAUGGAAAUGUCAGCUGACUCAGAAUGACACGGUUAAAGCAACCAUCACUUAUACAACAACAAUAAAAGAUGGUAUAGAGGAAGUGUUUGCUGCAGUCGGUGAGUCAGUGGCACUCUCUUGUAGCAACACUUCCUCUCUCGGUGUCGGUGACAGUGUGAAGUGGACUGUGGGUGAAAGGCCACUGACAGAUGAUAUGUCAUCUUAUAAUGGCCAAACAGAGGAAUUACAUGUGAAUAAGGACUCAUCACUGGUCAUUAGCAAAGUGAGUUCUCUGCAUGCCAGAGACUACCAGUGUUCAGAUUCCACUGAUCAGCAAAAAGUGUUUAACAAAAUCAGGCUGCAUAUCCUCGAUGGUGAGUUUUAAAACUUGUUAAGUCCCAGGACGAAGCAUAAGCUGGUCUAUGGUUACAUUGCGUAACUGCUAUUAAAACAUUUCCUAUUAUGUUUGUCUUUACAGUUACAUCAGAGCAUGGGCCAGGAGGUGAUAAUCUCACUUUGACUUGUGUACUUAUCUGCACUAAAGAAUGUGGAAAAGACUUCAACUUAACAUGGUCUGGAGGCAGCCACAAUACCAGGCAGAGCUAUGAUAAGAACACUCUCAUAAACAGGCUCUCUUUCCCACUUUUAUCAAUGGCAUCUGCUGAAUUAACUUGCUCUGUGCAUAGAGAGGGUGAUGUGAUGGCAUCAAAGAAGUGGCGCACUAUUAACCCUCUGCAAACACCUGCGUGGGCAGCACUUCCUCUAGCCCUCCUGAUAUGCGUAACUGCUGGAGGACUCUACGUGUACAUGAAGAGGAAGCACAACAAAGAUGCAGGAAAUGAACAGCCAAGUGUUGGAAUGACUCAUGUUUACGAUGUCAUUCAAAAUGUAAAUAAUGAGGAACUACACCAACCUGCUACCACCACCAGUUUCUAUGAUUUAUUACAGGCUGUAAACUAUAAAUAAAUAAAAGUGUCUAGUAUUUAAAGUGUCCUUGAUUUCAACCAUUAAUAAACUAUAAACGUUUU